UGCAGUGAUCGAGGUGAUACCGUGAG
RNAcentral lists this non-coding RNA (26 nucleotides) under Homo sapiens (human). The record is from RNAcentral. Lineage: Eukaryota; Metazoa; Chordata; Mammalia; Primates; Hominidae.